RNAcentral lists this ribosomal RNA (422 nucleotides) under uncultured archaeon. RNAcentral describes it as "partial 16S ribosomal RNA". It matches the Rfam family "Archaeal small subunit ribosomal RNA", at positions 323 to 746 of the family's 1478-position model. The record is from RNAcentral.
CUACGGGAGGCUCCAGGCGAGAAAACUUUGCAAUGUGCGAAAGCACGACAAGGUUAAUCCGAGUGGUUUCUGCUAAAGGAACCUUUUGACAGUCCUAGAAACACUGUUGAAUAAGGGGUGGGCAAGUUCUGGUGUCAGCCGCCGCGGUAAAACCAGCACCUCAAGUGGUCAGGAUGAUUAUUGGGCCUAAAGCAUCCGUAGCCGGCUCUGUAAGUUGUCGGUUAAAUCUGUACGCUCAACGUACAGGCUGCCGGGAAUACUGCAGAGCUAGGGAGUGGGAGAGGUAGACGGUACUCGGUAGGAAGGGGUAAAAUCCUUUGAUCUAUUGAUGACCACCUGUGGCGAAGGCGGUCUACCAGAACACGUCCGACGGUGAGGGAUGAAAGCUGGGGGAGCAAACCGGAUUAGAUACCCGGGUAGUC